RNAcentral lists this ribosomal RNA (465 nucleotides) under uncultured bacterium. RNAcentral describes it as "partial 16S ribosomal RNA". It matches the Rfam family "Bacterial small subunit ribosomal RNA", at positions 338 to 795 of the family's 1533-position model. The record is from RNAcentral.
CCUACGGGAUGCAGCAGUAGGGAAUCUUCGGCAAUGGACGAAAGUCUGACCGAGCAACGCCGCGUGAGUGAAGAAGGUUUUCGGAUCGUAACACUCUGUUGGUAGAGAAGAACGUUGGUGAGAGUGGAAAGCUAAUCAAGUGACGGUAACUCCCCAGAAAGGGACGGCUAACUACGUGCCAGCAGCCGCGGUACGACGUAGGUCCCGAGCGUUGUCCGGAUUGAUUUGGCGUAAAGCUAGCGCAGGUGGUUUAUUAAGUCUGGUGCAAAAGGCAGUGGCUCAACCAUUGUAUGCAUUGGAAACGGUUAGACUUGAGUGCAGGAGAGGAGAGUGGAAUUCCAUGUGUAGCGGUGAAAUGCGUAGAUAUAUGGAGGAACACCGGUGGCGAAGGCGGCUCUCUGGCCUGUAACUGACACUGAGGCUCGAAAGCGUGGGGAGCAAACAGGAUUAGAUACCCUUGUAGUC